Molecule: ribosomal RNA, 238 nt
Filed under: uncultured bacterium
Lineage: Bacteria
Description: partial 16S ribosomal RNA
Source: RNAcentral
CUGCUGCCUCCCGUAGGAGUCUGGGCCGUAUCUCAGUCCCAAUGUGGCCGGCCAACCUCUCAGUCCGGCUACUGAUCGUCGCCUUGGUGGGCCGUUACCUCACCAACUAGCUAAUCAGACGCGAGGCCAUCUUCCAGCGAUAAAUCUUUGACAUCAGUGCCAUGCGACACCAAUGCGUCAUGCGGUAUUAGCAGUCGUUUCCAACUGUUGUCCCCCUNUGGAAGGCAGGUUCCUCACG